UAUUGAGAAUUUUAUCCAUUUCUGCUAUUAAACACGAGCACAGCUGACAAAAUAACUAAAUAACAGCAUGUGGUGUGCCACGUGUAACUCAUUCUCAUUAAUUUUAAACAUUAGGAAUUGAUGAAAUUUUUAACA
This 135-nucleotide microRNA precursor is filed under the name Gossypium arboreum. RNAcentral describes it as "MIR7502 microRNA precursor family". It matches the Rfam family "MIR7502 microRNA precursor family". The record is from Rfam by way of RNAcentral. Lineage: Eukaryota; Viridiplantae; Streptophyta; Magnoliopsida; Malvales; Malvaceae.